This 433-nucleotide ribosomal RNA is filed under the name uncultured bacterium. Its description in RNAcentral is "partial 16S ribosomal RNA". It matches the Rfam family "Bacterial small subunit ribosomal RNA", at positions 29 to 507 of the family's 1533-position model. The record is from RNAcentral.
AACGAACGCUGGCGGCAUGCCUAACACAUGCAAGUCGAACGAAACCUUCGGGUCUAUUGGCGCACGGGUGCGUAACGCGUGGGAACCUUCCCUUAGGUUCGGAAUAACUCCCCGAAAGGGGUGCUAAUACCGGAUAAUGUCUUCGGACCAAAGAUUUAUCGCCUUUGGAUGGUCCCGCGUUGGAUUAGCUAGUUGGUAGGGUAAAAGCCUACCAAGGCGACGAUCCAUAGCUGGUCUGAGAGGAUGAUCAGCCACACUGGGACUGAGACACGGCCCAGACUCCUCCGGGAGGCAGGAGUGGGGAAUAGUGGAAAAUGGGCGAAAGCAUGAUCCAGCAAUGACGGGUGAGUGAUGAAGGCCUGAGGGUUGUAAAGCUCUUUUAACCGGGAUGAUAAUGACAGUACCGGGAGAAUAAGCUCCGGCUAACUCCGUG